Molecule: ribosomal RNA, 263 nt
Filed under: uncultured bacterium
Lineage: Bacteria
Description: partial 16S ribosomal RNA
Rfam family: Bacterial small subunit ribosomal RNA
Source: RNAcentral
UGUGCCUACGGGGCGCAGCAGUGGGGGAUAUUGCACAAUGGGGGAAACCCUGAUGCAGCGACGCCGCGUGAGUGAAGAAGUACUUCGGUACGUAAAGCUCUAUCAGCAGGGAAGAAAAAUGACGGUACCUGACUAAGAAGCCCCGGCUAACUACGUGCCAGCAGCCGCGGUAAUACGUAGGGGGCAAGCGUUAUCCGGAUUUACUGGGAGUAAAGGGAGCGUAGACGGCUGGGAAAGUCUGAAGUGAAAUGCGGUGGCCCAAC